AACUUACCAGGUCAAGACAUGGGCGUGAUUGACAGGCUAAUGACUUUUCUCGAUUCCAUGGAUGGUGGUGCACGGUCGCACUUAGUUGGUGCAGUGAUUUGUCAGGUUUAUUCCGGUAACGAACGAGACCUCGGCCUUGUAAAUAGCUAUGCUGCUUACAGGGACAUUGGCGGCUACGCCAAGGAAGCUCGAGGCAAUUGCAGAUCUGGAAUGCCCUUAGAUGUCCUGGGUCGCACGCGUGCUACAAUGACGCCACGAACGAGCUUGCGUGAUGAAAGUUACGCAUAAUCAGCAGUCGGCGUCUUAAGGGAUAGUCUCUUGUAACUGUGGGACUCCAACUAGGAAUGUCUCGUAAGCACAAGUCAACAUCUUGUGUUGAUUACGUCCCUGCUCUUUGUACACACCGCCCGUCGCUCCUACCGAUCGAGUGUUUAGGUGAAUUUGAUGGACGUAAGGAAGUCAAAUAAACCGAGCACUAGAGAAGAGAGUAGAGCAUGUCC
This 500-nucleotide ribosomal RNA is filed under the name uncultured Myrionecta. Its description in RNAcentral is "bacterial SSU rRNA". It matches the Rfam family "Eukaryotic small subunit ribosomal RNA", at positions 1212 to 1762 of the family's 1831-position model. Lineage: Eukaryota; Ciliophora; Litostomatea; Cyclotrichida; Mesodiniidae. The record is from RNAcentral.